GAUGAACGCUGGCGGCGUGCCUAAUACAUGCAAGUCGAGCGAACAGACGAGGAGCUUUCUCCUCUGACGUUAGCGGCGGACGGGAGAGUAACACGUGGAUAACCUACCUAUAAGAAUGGGAUAACUUUGGGAAACCGGAGCUAAUACCGGAUAAUAUAUUGAACCGCAUUGUUCAAUAGUGAAAGUCGGUUUUGCUGUCACUUAUAGAUGGAUCCGCGGCGCAUUAGCUAGUUGGUGAGGUAAUGGCUUACCAAGGCUACGAUGCGUAGCCGACCUGAGAGGGAGGUCGGCCACACGGUAACUGAGACACGGUCCAGACUCCUACGGUAGGCAGCAGUAGGGAAUCUUCCGCAAUGGGGGAGAGCUUGACGGAGCAACGCCGCGUGAGUGAUGAAGGUCUUCUGCUCGUAAAACUCUGUUAUUAGGGAGGAACAAAUGUGUAAGUAACUGUGAACGUCUUGACGGUACCGAAUCAGAAAGCCACGGCUAACUACGUG
RNAcentral lists this ribosomal RNA (497 nucleotides) under uncultured bacterium. RNAcentral describes it as "partial 16S ribosomal RNA". It matches the Rfam family "Bacterial small subunit ribosomal RNA", at positions 28 to 507 of the family's 1533-position model. The record is from RNAcentral.